RNAcentral lists this ribosomal RNA (520 nucleotides) under Allobates gasconi. RNAcentral's name for it is "partial 16S ribosomal RNA". It matches the Rfam family "Bacterial large subunit ribosomal RNA", at positions 1808 to 2539 of the family's 2925-position model. Lineage: Eukaryota; Metazoa; Chordata; Amphibia; Anura; Aromobatidae. The record is from RNAcentral.
CAAAAACAUCGCCUCCUGGCUAAUCAUAAGAGGUCAAGCCUGCCCAGUGACAUUGUUCAACGGCCGCGGUAUCCUAACCGUGCGAAGGUAGCGUAAUCACUUGUUCUUUAAAUGAGGACUAGUAUGAACGGCUUCACGAGAGCUAUGCUGUCUCCUUUAUCCAAUCAGUUAAACUAAUCUCCCCGUGAAGAAGCGGGGAUAAGCCUAUAAGACGAGAAGACCCUGUGGAGCUUUAAACACCUUAAACAUUUGUAUUUAACCUAUUAACCUUCCUGUAAAUUCCACUAAGCCCAUCAUUCUGUUUUAAGUUUUAGGUUGGGGUGACCACGGAGAAUAACCCACCCUCCACGUAGAAAGAACCUUACUUCUAAGCGAAAAGCUACACCUUUAUGCAUCAACACAUUGACCUAAAUUGACCCAAUUUCUUUGAUCAACGAACCAAGUUACCCUAGGGAUAACAGCGCAAUCCACCUUAAGAGCUCCUAUCGACAGGUGGGUUUACGACCUCGAUGUUGGAUCA